AGUGUAGGCGGCUAUUUAAGUCGGAUGUGAAAGCCCCGGGCUCAACCUGGGAAUUGCAUCCGAAACUGGGUAGCUAGAGUUUGGUAGAGGUAAGUGGAAUUCCAGGUGUAGCGGUGAAAUGCGUAGAUAUCUGGAGGAACAUCAGUGGCGAAGGCGGCUUACUGGACCAAAACUGACGCUGAGGCUCGAAAGCGUGGGGAGCAAACAGGAUUAGAUACCCUGGUAGUCC
RNAcentral lists this ribosomal RNA (229 nucleotides) under uncultured bacterium. RNAcentral describes it as "partial 16S ribosomal RNA". It matches the Rfam family "Bacterial small subunit ribosomal RNA", at positions 568 to 796 of the family's 1533-position model. The record is from RNAcentral.